AGUUUUGCUAGGUAUCUGUCGUCAGGUUUUUUAGAAAAAAUUGUCACAUUUUUGUCCACCGGCGCUGCUAAAAUCAUACGUCCCGUUCGGCUGGUUGGGAAAGAAGCCCAGCCGCGCUGGUUCUUGCAUGUUCUGGCUUGGCUGGUUUGGUGGAUAAGCAGGUUCGGUGGAUCAGCCCAGCCAGCUAAACGGGGCCGAGAAAUCUCCAGUACCUCCAGUUCUCACUCCCGUCUCCCUCCUCUCCCCAAUCUCCUUUGUUCAUUCAGGUUGAAAUAUGUGCUCUUUCGCGUCUGACUCUGUCAAACUACCCCGUAGUGUGGACUUGUAGGGAUGCUAGGUGAAGUGGGAGAAGCGGAGCAAGAAGCAGUUCUGAUCAAGACAUAACUCUCGAUCAAUAUUCUUAGUAAUAUUACUCAUAAGUAGGCAUAAUAGCGAUUAUUACAUUUAGAUUUGUAUAUGCAUUCUUAUCUUGCGAUAUUUUUUUUAAAAAAUAUAUAUUUAGAUGGUCAAAGUACUGCUGUUUUCUUAUCGAGAUUCCCAAGCAACAAUUUUGCCUCUCCCAUCAAUAGGUUUAGCUAGAGCAUUUAUAACA
This is a long non-coding RNA of Panicum virgatum (switchgrass), 592 nucleotides long. RefSeq lists it as uncharacterized. NCBI's taxonomy places the organism in Eukaryota, Viridiplantae, Streptophyta, Magnoliopsida, Poales, Poaceae. The record is from RefSeq and is a predicted model, not a curated record. The transcript has 2 exons.